RNAcentral lists this long non-coding RNA (281 nucleotides) under Nicotiana benthamiana. RNAcentral's name for it is "long non-coding RNA (NBEN_LNC008321)". The record is from RNAcentral. Lineage: Eukaryota; Viridiplantae; Streptophyta; Magnoliopsida; Solanales; Solanaceae.
UUUUUUUUAUAUUCUAAUGCCUAAUUAGUAAUUACUAUUUCUCAUUCUAGAGAAAGACAUAAAGACAGAAAAGUGAGACUGAGGUCUGAGAACAGAGAGGAGAGAACUGAAACCCUAACACCUAAAGCAGCAGCCGCCAGCCAGUACCCAGUAGCCACCAAUCCUUUCCGCCUCCGCUCGUCGUCGUCUACUUCCACCAGUCGUCGGUCUCCCUCCUCUCGCCAUCGAGAACAGAGAGGAGAGAACUGAAACCCUAACACCUAAAGCAGCAGCCGCCAGCC